Molecule: ribosomal RNA, 420 nt
Filed under: uncultured bacterium
Lineage: Bacteria
Description: bacterial SSU rRNA
Rfam family: Bacterial small subunit ribosomal RNA
Source: RNAcentral
UAAGGAAUAUUGCUCAAUGGGAGAAAUCCUGAAGCAGCAACGCCGCGUGGAGGAUGAAGGGUCUAUGACUUGUAAACUCCUGUAAAGAAGGAAAAAAUUCCCAUUAGAUGGGAGAUGAUGGUACUUCUGGAGUAAGCCCCGGCUAACUACGUGCCAGCAGCCGCGGUAAUACGGAGGAUGCGAGCGUUAUCCGGAUUUAUUGGGUUUAAAGGGUGCGCAGGCGGGAUUUUAAGUCAGCGGUGAAAUUUUCAGGCUCAACCUGAACACUGCCGUUGAAACUGGGAUUCUUGAGUAUGGAUGAAGUAGGCGGAAUUCGUUGUGUAGCGGUGACAUGCUUAGAUAUAACGAGGAACUCCGAUUGCGUAGGCAGCUUACUAAGCCAUAACUGACGCUCAAGCACGAAAGCGUGGGGAUCAAACA